Molecule: transfer RNA, 77 nt
Filed under: Enterobacteriaceae bacterium RIT711
Lineage: Bacteria; Pseudomonadati; Pseudomonadota; Gammaproteobacteria; Enterobacterales; Enterobacteriaceae
Description: tRNA-Arg
Rfam family: tRNA
About the family: Transfer RNA (tRNA) molecules are approximately 80 nucleotides in length. Their secondary structure includes four short double-helical elements and three loops (D, anti-codon, and T loops).
Source: RNAcentral
ACAUUGUUAGCUCAGUUGGAUAGAGCGUUGCCCUCCGGAGGCAAAAGCCACUGGUUCGACCCAAGUACAGUGUACCA